GACGAACGCUGGCGGCGUGCUUAACACAUGCAAGUCGAACGGAAAGGCCUGUCCUUCCUUGUGUUGGACGGGUACUCGAGUGGCGAACGGGUGAGUAACACGUGAGUGAUCUGCCCCCAACUUGGGUAUAAGCCUGGGAAACUGGGUCUAAUUCCCGAUAGGACUGCAGGGUGGUGCCUGUGGUGGAAAACGAUUUUCUAGUGGUUGGGGAUGAGCUCGCGGCCUAUCAGCUUGUUGGUGGGGUAAUGGCCUACCAAGGCGGCGACGGGUAGCCGGCCUGAGAGGGUGGACGGCCACAUUGGGACGGAGAUACGGCCCAGACUCCUACGGGAGGCAGCAGUGGGGAAUAUUGCACAAUGGGCGGAAGCCUGAUGCAGCGACGCCGCGUGGGGGAUGACGGCCUUCGGGUUGUAAACUCCUUUCGACCGCGAGGAAGCCGCCUGGUUGGAAGGGUGGUGACGGUAGUGGUAGAAGAAGCACCGGCUAACUACGUG
This 494-nucleotide ribosomal RNA is filed under the name uncultured bacterium. Its description in RNAcentral is "partial 16S ribosomal RNA". It matches the Rfam family "Bacterial small subunit ribosomal RNA", at positions 28 to 507 of the family's 1533-position model. The record is from RNAcentral.